Molecule: long non-coding RNA, 354 nt
Filed under: Nicotiana benthamiana
Lineage: Eukaryota; Viridiplantae; Streptophyta; Magnoliopsida; Solanales; Solanaceae
Description: long non-coding RNA (NBEN_LNC003743)
Source: RNAcentral
AGUUGGUUUUUGAUCAACGGAAAGCAUGGGAGAAAAAAAAGGAAGAAUUUACGCAAUUUCUUUUCUAAGAAAGAGAUCAUAGUGAUUGAUGGCUCUUUCAAUCCGCCGAAAUGGAACGCUUUGGCGUGUACCAAAAUGGAGAAUUUGGGUCAGAUUUAUAAGCUUACGACCACUGAACAAACUUGGUUGACGAACAUAGUUUAUGCGCCGCAGCUUUGGUGUGUACCAAAAUGGAGAAUUUGGGUCAGAUUUAUAAGCUUACGACCACUAAACAAACUUGGUUGAAGAACAUAGUUUAUGCGCCGCUAAUGUAGCGGCUUGUCGAGCAUUAGACAAACUCACACCAUCCAUUUC